RNAcentral lists this ribosomal RNA (501 nucleotides) under Paecilomyces variotii. RNAcentral describes it as "partial large subunit ribosomal RNA". It matches the Rfam family "Eukaryotic large subunit ribosomal RNA", at positions 102 to 606 of the family's 3401-position model. Lineage: Eukaryota; Fungi; Ascomycota; Eurotiomycetes; Eurotiales; Thermoascaceae. The record is from RNAcentral.
CAAGAGCUCAAAUUUGAAAUCUGGCCCCUCCGGGGUCCGAGUUGUAAUUUGCAGAGGAUGCUUCGGGCGCGGUCCCCGUCUAAGUACCCUGGAACGGGUCGUCAUAGAGGGUGAGAAUCCCGUCUGGGACGGGUGGCCGUGUCCGUGUGAAGCUCCUUCGACGAGUCGAGUUGUUUGGGAAUGCAGCUCUAAAUGGGUGGUAAAUUUCAUCUAAAGCUAAAUAUUGGCCGGAGACCGAUAGCGCACAAGUAGAGUGAUCGAAAGAUGAAAAGCACUUUGAAAAGAGAGUUAAACAGCACGUGAAAUUGUUGAAAGGGAAGCGCUUGCGACCAGACUCGCCCGCGGGGGUUCAGCCGGUACUCGUACCGGUGUACUCCCCCGGGGGCGGGCCAGCGUCGGUUUGGGCGGUCGGUCAAAGGCCUCCGGAAUGUGUCGCCCCCCGGGGCGUCUUAUAGCCGGAGGUGCAAUGCGGCCAGCCUGGACCGAGGAACGCGCUUCGGC